Molecule: ribosomal RNA, 497 nt
Filed under: uncultured bacterium
Lineage: Bacteria
Description: partial 16S ribosomal RNA
Rfam family: Bacterial small subunit ribosomal RNA
Source: RNAcentral
GAUGAACGCUGGCGGCGUGCCUAAUACAUGCAAGUCGAGCGAACGGACGAGAAGCUUGCUUCUCUGAUGUUAGCGGCGGACGGGUGAGUAACACGUGGAUAACCUACCUAUAAGACUGGGAUAACUUCGGGAAACCGGAGCUAAUACCGGAUAAUAUUUUGAACCGCAUGGUUCAAAAGUGAAAGACGGUCUUGCUGUCACUUAUAGAUGGAUCCGCGCUGCAUUAGCUAGUUGGUAAGGUAACGGCUUACCGAGGCAACGAUGCAUAGCCGACCUGAGAGGGUGAUCGGCCACACUGGAACUGAGACACGGUCCAGACUCCUACGGGAGGCAGCAGUAGGGAAUCUUCCGCAAUGGGCGAAAGCCUGACGGAGCAACGCCGCGUGAGUGAUGAAGGUCUUCGGAUCGUAAAACUCUGUUAUUAGGGAAGAACAUAUGUGUAAGUAACUGUGCACAUCUUGACGGUACCUAAUCAGAAAGCCACGGCUAACAACGUG